This is a long non-coding RNA of Olea europaea var. sylvestris, 2215 nucleotides long. RefSeq lists it as uncharacterized. The record is from RefSeq and is a predicted model, not a curated record. NCBI's taxonomy places the organism in Eukaryota, Viridiplantae, Streptophyta, Magnoliopsida, Lamiales, Oleaceae. The transcript is spliced from 3 exons.
UCGUCACCACCCUUCGUACUACCUUGAGAUAUUUUCUUCUCUCUCCUCUUCUUCUCUACAAGUGGUGUUCAUUACGAACAGAAAUUUUAUUAUUUUAGUACUGCAUUAUUCUUCAAGCUUUUCUUCAUCAAAAGAGUUGAAUCUGCUCUCUCUCUUGAUUGGUCGAAGUACAGAGCCCAAAAAUAGCAGAAUCGAUAUGUAUGGAGCUGUCAUCUGGCUAACUAAUGUAGUCGUAACCUGUUACAGCGACGAAAUAUAAUGUUACCAGGGUUAAUGUGGACAGAAAGUAGAAAAGUGGGCUUAGAGAGCAAUGGCUACCCAUCAGACGUGGAUAUCUUGAAGAGAGAAUUACCCCAGUUUGAUUCCAUUUGCUGGUGGAUCAUUCUUCUCUAUUUGUGGCUGGCUUAGCUGCAAAUUGACAGGUAUGGGUAAAUCAUAACCAUGACUGAUUCCACGUGUUAUGUGUGGAACCCUGUUUGCUGUGUUUGUACCUCCUGAGCCAUAAACCUGGUCAAAACUUAUUAUUAAGUUCAGCCUGGAAAUUAUUUUGCCUAUGUAGCCAAAUAUGCCAGAAUAGUGCUUUUUUUAUUUGUAAAAAUCGUCAGUCUUUCAAUACCUUUACCUGCAAGCCUGCAUUUUCUUGAGAGACAAGGCUUACCUUCUUAUACAGCUCUAUGUUUUCUUGAUGCAUGAGAUUUCCCUGCUACAAGUUUGAUUAAGACAUUCCUGAAUUUAAACAUGAAUGGAAUACAAAAAUUGGAAUAUCUAACUGUGUUUCCAAUAGGACCUUGUGGUUUAACUCUUCGAUUUCAUCUUUUAAAAUUUGCUCCUGCAAGGGAAGGCAAUUAUUGUGAAUUUUCAUAUACUUAAUAUGUCAGAAGCCACAGAACUACUAAUUAACUAUUAUUUUAGGCAGAACCCUCUUGACCUUUUUCAUUCGGAUGCUUUUCAAACUCAUUUCAAGUUGAUUUUCCAGAUUUUGUAGAUCUAUAAUUCCCAAUCCAGAAAGUUCUUCUCCCAAAAGUUUCCUGCAUAUAUCAUGACAGAGUUAUAUGGUAUGUUCUUGGCCUGUAUGAGCGUUCCUCAACUAUCUAUAUGAAAUUUUCUGAUUUCUGAAGAAUUACUUGGAAGUAUCUCCAUAACUAUUCUCUUAAUUUAUCCAACAUGUGUUUAUCUAUUUAAUUUAAUCACCUUAUAGCCAUGGACACCUAGCUAAUUAGACAAAGUAAAAAUACGGAGUAUUUUGGAGGCGGAGAGAGUGUGUCAGAUCCUAAACCUUCCUAGUGAGAGAUGCCUUUUUAUUCCUUUCACUAUUUCUUUGUCAAUUUUAUUCACUUUAGAGUUGCUAACAUGGUAUUAGAGCGAAAAUAUCUGCUGUUUGUCAAGGUGUUUGGCCAUAUACUGAUGCUUGGGGUCAUUGCAUAAAUGCAAUCGAACUUGUGGCAUGUAUGAUAUGUGAAACAUAUGAAAUUGCGAUGACACUUUAUCCUACACUACUUUGGGCCUGGUACUACCUCUUCCUUUAUUUCUCUCCAUCUAGGUCCUGUUCGUCACUGAGAUAGACAUUAUCGUUUAUAUUUCUACUGUUAUCUCUUCAGUCUUUGCCUUCAUCUAUUUAAUCUUCUACUAUGAUACUGGGUGCUAUUUGUUACUUUAGAAACAAACAUACCUGUAACUUUCUUGCAAGUACUGCAGCUGUCUUCUCAGGCUUUCUGCUUCCUUUUUCCAGAACUAGGAAGACGUUUGGCAAAAUGAUUAGUUUCCUCGUGUAUAAAAUGCAGAAUUACAUGGUUAAAUCGAAGUCAAGAGUUACUGAUAUUUUGGGGUCCAAAACAAGACCAAUAAUGAUAGGAUCUUAUAACAUAGCUUAUCUGGAACUUUUUUUUUGUAGUUAUAAUCAUCUUUAUAUUCAUCAAACUGGUUUAUAUCCAGUUUUUGGUAAACCAAAAUUUCUUCAAAGAAAGAAACUGCAGGCAAGCAGUAUACAGAGGAAGAAGAAAGAAACGGAAGAAGCAGCUAACUACCCAGGAUUUUAUCUACAUAGAAUUAUAGGGUCCCAAAACAUCAAGAAGAAUAACGGGGUAUUAAUCCUCGCCACACGGUUUUCUAAGCCUUCUAAAAUUACUUGCAUAGUUAAGACUAGAUUGAGUUAUUGAUUCCUUAGACUAGCGUGCAGACGAAAAUUUGAAAUCCUAAUGAAUGAAAUGUUGACAAA